GAGGAGCUUGCUUCUCUGAUCAGUGGCGAACGGGUGAGUAACACGUGAGCAAUCUGCCCUUGACUCUGGGAUAAGCGUUGGAAACGACGUCUAAUACCGGAUACGACCCUUGGAGGCAUCUCUGGGGGUGGAAAGAAUUUUGGUCAAGGAUGAGCUCGCGGCCUAUCAGCUAGUUGGUGAGGUAAUGGCUCACCAAGGCGACGACGGGUAGCCGGCCUGAGAGGGUGACCGGCCACACUGGGACUGAGACACGGCCCAGACUCCUACGGGAGGCAGCAGUGGGGAAUAUUGCACAAUGGGCGAAAGCCUGAUGCAGCAACGCCGCGUGAGGGACGACGGCCUUCGGGUUGUAAACCUCUUUUAGUAGGGAAGAAGCGAAAGUGACGGUACCUGCAGAAAAAGCACCGGCUAACUACGUGCCAGCAGCCGCGGUAAUACGUAGGGUGCAAGCGUUGUCCGGAAUUAUUGGGCGUAAAGAGCUCGUAGGCGGUUUGUCGCGUCUGCUGUGAAAACCCGAGGCUCAACCUCGGGCCUGCAGUGGGUACGGGCAGACUAGAGUGCGGUAGGGGAGAUUGGAAUUCCUGGUGUAGCGGUGGAAUGCGCAGAUAUCAGGAGGAACACCAAUGGCGAAGGCAGAUCUCUGGGCCGUAACUGACGCUGAGGAGCGAAAGCAUGGGGAGCGAACAGGAUUAGAUACCCUGGUAGUCCAUGCCGUAAACGUUGGGAACUAGAUGUGGGGACCAUUCCACGGUCUCCGUGUCGCAGCUAACGCAUUAAGUUCCCCGCCUGGGGAGUACGGCCGCAAGGCUAAAACUCAAAGGAAUUGACGGGGGCCCGCACAAGCGGCGGAGCAUGCGGAUUAAUUCGAUGCAACGCGAAGAACCUUACCAAGGCUUGACAUAUAGAGGAAACGUCUGGAAACAGUCGCCCCGCAAGGUCUCUAUACAGGUGGUGCAUGGUUGUCGUCAGCUCGUGUCGUGAGAUGUUGGGUUAAGUCCCGCAACGAGCGCAACCCUCGUCCUAUGUUGCCAGCACGUAAUGGUGGGAACUCAUGGGAUACUGCCGGGGUCAACUCGGAGGAAGGUGGGGAUGACGUCAAAUCAUCAUGCCCCUUAUGUCUUGGGCUUCACGCAUGCUACAAUGGCCGGUACAAAGGGCUGCAAUACCGCAAGGUGGAGCGAAUCCCAAAAAGCCGGUCUCAGUUCGGAUUGAGGUCUGCAACUCGACCUCAUGAAGUCGGAGUCGCUAGUAAUCGCAGAUCAGCAACGCUGCG
This 1273-nucleotide ribosomal RNA is filed under the name Cryobacterium sp. KAR41. RNAcentral describes it as "bacterial SSU rRNA". It matches the Rfam family "Bacterial small subunit ribosomal RNA", at positions 73 to 1361 of the family's 1533-position model. Lineage: Bacteria; Bacillati; Actinomycetota; Actinomycetes; Micrococcales; Microbacteriaceae. The record is from RNAcentral.